Molecule: ribosomal RNA, 300 nt
Filed under: Triticum aestivum (bread wheat)
Lineage: Eukaryota; Viridiplantae; Streptophyta; Magnoliopsida; Poales; Poaceae
Description: partial small subunit ribosomal RNA
Source: RNAcentral
AUGGAUGAGGUCACAAGGGAUAUACAAGGAGAUAUCCCAUGGUGUAUGCUCUUUGCGGAUGAUGUGGUGCUAAUUGAUUGUAGUUGGACGGGGGUUAAUAGAAAGUUAGGGCUAUGGAGACAAACUUUCGAAUCGAAAGGUUUUAGGCUUAGUAGAACUAAACCUGAGUACAUGAGGUGCGGUUUCAGUACCACUAGGCACGAGGAGGUUAGCCUUGAUGGGCAGGUGGUAUCUCAGAAGGACACCUUCGAUAUUUGGGGUCAAUGCUGCAGAACAAUGGUGAUACCGACUAAGAUGUGA